GGUGUAAUUUUCCGCAAUGGGCGCAAGCCUGACGGAGCAAGACCGCGUGAGGGAAGAAGGUCUGUGGAUUGUAAACCUCUUUUGAUAGGGAAGAAGACAGUGACGGUACCUAUCGAAUCAGCCUCGGCUAACUCCGCGCCAGCAGCCGCGGUAAUACGGAGGAGGCAAGCGUUAUCCGGAAUUAUUGGGCGUAAAGAGUCCGUAGGUGGGUAACCAAGUCAGCUGUUAAAUAGUGAAGCUUAACUUCAUAGAGGCGGCUGAAACUGGUUGUCUAGAGUGUGGUAGGGGUAGAGGGAAUUUCCAGUGUAGCGGUGAAAUGCGUAGAUAUUGGAAAGAACACCGGUGGCGAAAGCGCUCUACUGGGCCUGCACUGACACUGAGGGACGAAAGCUAGGGGAGCGAAAGGGAUUAGAUACCCCUGUAGUCCUAGCCGUAAACGAUGGAUACUAGGCGUUGCCCGUAUCGACCCGGGCAGUGUCGUAGCCAACGCGUUAAGUAUC
Molecule: ribosomal RNA, 500 nt
Filed under: uncultured cyanobacterium
Lineage: Bacteria; Bacillati; Cyanobacteriota
Description: bacterial SSU rRNA
Rfam family: Bacterial small subunit ribosomal RNA
Source: RNAcentral